RNA transcript from Oncorhynchus gorbuscha (pink salmon), 11332 nucleotides. It is a transcript of the gene named spectrin beta chain, non-erythrocytic 1-like, with no coding region annotated. The record is from RefSeq and is a predicted model, not a curated record. Lineage: Eukaryota; Metazoa; Chordata; Actinopteri; Salmoniformes; Salmonidae. The transcript is spliced from 39 exons.
CUUUCUCCCUCCCUGUUGAACGAGCGGAAUUAGGGGACGACCGUCGGAGGUUAUCUAGGAAACUGCAGACAUCUCUCCGAUGCUAACUUAUCAACGAUUUCGUAUAUCCUUGCGAGUAGCCUACCACCAUUGCUUUGCCUUUACUCUGUCAAAUGUAGAGGACUGCCUAUGUUUCUGUCAAAUGUAGAGGACUGCCUAUGUUUCGUAUCACGCCGUGCUGCACAAGCAGCGUGAAAAGAUCUGACUCAAGGAUGCGGAUUUAAACAGAAAUACACUGCCAACUGGGAUUUGAAACAUUCACAUUGAAUUAAGUCACUAAUGCCAGUAACCAGAUACUCUUUAUGUUCGUUUUAUAUUUGAUCAGUGACGCGGUAAAAAUAUCGAGAGCCAACCACCAACGAAGAUAAACCGCGAGAACGGGUUGGAUGGUUUUCCCCCAGCCCCGGUCACCAUCAUGAGCACCAUCUCUCCCACAGACUUCGACAGCCAGGAGAUCCAGCAGCAGUACAAUGACAUCAACAACCGCUGGGACCUGGCCGCAGAGACCGACUGGGACAAUGAGAACAGCUCGGCACGCCUCUUUGAGCGCUCGCGCAUCAAAGCUCUGGCAGAUGAGCGUGAAGCGGUGCAGAAGAAAACCUUCACUAAGUGGGUGAACUCUCACCUGGGCCGUGUGACGUGCCGCAUCGGGGACCUGUACACUGACCUGAGAGAUGGACGUAUGCUCAUCCGCCUGCUGGAGGUGCUGUCAGGGGAACAGCUGCCGAAGCCCACCAAGGGGCGUAUGCGUAUCCACUGCCUGGAGAAUGUGGACAAGGCCCUACAGUUUCUCAAGGAGCAGAAGGUCCACCUGGAGAACAUGGGCUCUCACGACAUCGUGGAUGGGAACCACCGCCUCACCCUGGGUCUCAUCUGGACCAUCAUACUCCGCUUCCAGAUCCAGGACAUCAGCGUGGAGACUGAGGAUAACAAGGAGAAGAAGUCUGCCAAAGAGGCCCUGCUUCUCUGGUGCCAGAUGAAGACCGCUGGGUACCCCAACGUCAACGUUCACAACUUCACCACCAGCUGGAGAGACGGCCUGGCGUUCAACGCCAUCGUGCACAAACACAGACCGGACGUGAUUGAGUUUGACAGCCUGAAGCGUUCCAACGCCCACUACAACCUCCAGAAUGCCUUCAACACGGCAGAGAAUAAGCUGGGCCUCACCAAACUCCUGGACCCAGAAGAUGUCAACGUUGACCAGCCGGAUGAGAAGUCCAUCAUCACCUACGUGGCCACCUACUACCACUACUUCUCCAAGAUGAAGGCCCUGGCUGUGGAGGGCAAGAGGGUUGGCAAGGUGCUGGACUAUGCCAUUGAGGCUGACCAGCUGGUUGGGAACUAUGAGAGCCUGGCGUCAGAGCUGCUGCAGUGGAUCGAGCAGACCAUUCUGACCCUGAAUGACCGGCAGCUGGCCAACUCCCUGAGCGCCGUGCAGAACCAGCUGCAAGCCUUCAACACCUACCGCACCGUGGAGAAACCCCCUAAGUUCACAGAGAAAGGCAACUUGGAGGUGCUGCUGUUCACCAUUCAGAGCAAGAUGAGAGCCAACAACCAGAAGGUGUACAUUCCCAGAGAGGGCAAGCUCAUCUCUGACAUCAACAAGGCGUGGGAGCGCCUGGAGAAGGCGGAGCACGAGCGGGAGCUGGCGCUGAGGAACGAGCUGAUUCGCCAGGAGAAGCUGGAGAUGCUCGCCGCUCGUUUCGACCGCAAGGCCGCCAUGAGGGAGACCUGGCUGAGCGAGAACCAGCGGCUCGUCUCUCAGGACAACUUUGGUGUGGACCUGGGAGCGGUGGACGCUGCGACUCGUAAACACGAGGCCAUCGAGACGGACAUCGGGGCGUACGGGGAGCGCGUGGCAGCCGUGGAGGCGGUGGCCAGGGAGCUGGAGGCGGAGAAUUACCACGACGUGCGCCGUGUGCUGGCGAGGAGGGACAACGUGCUGCGGCUGUGGGAGUAUCUGAAGGAGCUGUUAGCCGCUCGCAGGGAGAGACUCAACGCACACCGUGACCUGCAGAGACUGCUGCAGGAGAUGAGAUCCAUCAUGGACUGGAUGGGAGAGAUGAAGGGUCGUCUGCAGUCCCAGGACAGUGGGAAGCACCUGCAUGAUGUGGAGGACCUGCUGCAGACUCACAACCUGGUGGAGGCAGACAUCUCAGCCCAGGCAGAGGGGGUCCGUGGGGUCCAGGGAGCCGCUCAGCGCUUCACCUCGGACCAACAGGUCUACAAACCGUGUGAGCCGGCGCUGGUGGGAGAGAAGGUGUCUCUGCUGGGCCGGGCCUAUGAGGAGCUGGGCCAGCUGGCCGGGGAGCGGAGGGUGCGCCUCGAGGAUUCGCGGCGCCUCUGGCAGUUCCUGUGGGAGCUGGGAGAGGAGGCGGCCUGGAUCAGAGAGCAGGAGCAGAUCCUGGCUGGAGGAGACUGUGGCCGCGACCUCACCUCCGCCCUGCACCUCCUCAGCAAGCACGAGGCCUUCAGGGACGAGAUGGCAGCCCGCUACGGCCCUCUGGGCAACAGCAUCGCCGCGGGACAGACCCUGGUGGAGGAGGGACACAUUGGAGCCCCAGAGUGCACUGAGAGGAUCAGGGACGUCCGCGCUCAGUGGGCACACCUGGAGGAGACGUCCCAGCUGAGGGAGCAGCAGCUGAAGGAGGCAGUGGCCCUGCACCAGUUCCAGACGGACGCCAACGACAUGGAGGCCUGGAUCCUGGAGACGCUGCGCCAGGUGUCCAGCCAGGAGGUGGGCCACGACGAGUUCUCCACCCAGACCUUGGCCCGCAAGCAGAGGGAGGUGGAGGAGGAGAUCCAGAGCCACCGCACCCUCAUCGACUCCCUGCACGAGCAGGCCCUCACCCUGCCCCCGGUCCAUGCAAACGCCCCUCAGGUAGAGGGCCGUCUGCCUGCCAUAGAGCAGCGUUACCACGAGCUGGAGGCCCUGUCUGCGUCGCGGCGUCAGGCCCUGGAGGGGGCGCUGGCCCUCUACCGCAUGUACAGCGAGGCGGGCGCCUGUCAGCUGUGGGUGGGGGAGAAGGAACAGUGGCUGGACGGCAUGCAGAUCCCCACCAAACUGGAAGACCUGGAGGUGGUGCAGCAGAGGUUCGAGACCCUGGAGCCUGAGAUGAACAACCUGGGGACUCGUAUCUCUGAUGUCAACCAGGUGGCUCAACAGCUGCUGGGAUCAGACAACCUCAGCAAAGAGCAGAUCAACCAGACACAAGACCAGCUCAACAACAGGUGGAAGGAGUUCCAGCGUCUGGCGGACCAGAGGAAACAGGCCCUGGAGUCGGCCCUCAACAUCCAGAACUACCACCUGGAGUGUAACGAGAUCCAGAGCUGGAUGAGAGAGAAGACAAAGGUGAUCGAGUCCACCGAGAGCCUGGGCAACGACCUGGCUGGUGUCAUGGCCCUGCAGCGCAAACUCACCGGCAUGGAGAGAGACCUGGAGGCCAUUCAGGGUAAGUUGGACGACCUGAAGAAGGAGGCAGAGACGCUGGCUGAGGAGCACCCGGACCAGGCAGAGGAGAUCCAUGCCCACCUGGGGGAGAUCCAGGAGGUGUGGCAGGAGCUCAAUGCCACCAUGAAGCGGCGCGAGGAGUCUCUGGGCGAGGCCAGCAAGCUGCAGGGCUUCCUCCGGGACCUGGAUGACUUCCAGUCCUGGCUGUCCCGCACGCAGACCGCCGUGGCGUCCGAGGACAUCCCCACCUCGCUGCCAGAGGCUGAGCGCCUGCUCUCCCAGCACGAGAGCAUCAAGAACGAGGUGGACAACUACAAGGAGGACUAUGAGAAGAUGCGGGCGGUGGGUGACGAGGUGACUCAGGGCCAGACGGACGCCCAGUACAUGUUCCUGGCCCAGAGGCUGCAGGCGCUGGACACCGGGUGGCACGAGCUGCGCCGGAUGUGGGAGAACCGCCACAGCCUUCUGGCCCAAGCCUUCGACUUCCAGAGCUUCCUGAGGGAAGUCAAGCAGGCUGAGGGCUUCCUCAACAGCCAGGAGUAUGUGCUGUCCCACACUGAGAUGCCCUCCAGCCUGCAGGGGGCAGAGGAGGCCAUCAAGAAGCACGAGGACUUCCUGACCACCAUGGAGGCCAGUGAGGAGAAGAUCACGGGCGUGGUGGAGGCCGGACGCCGCCUGGUCAACGACCUUAACGCCAACUCUGACAAGAUCAGGAAAAGGCCGACUCCAUCCAGGAGAGACAUCAGAAGAAUAGGGAAGCUGCAAAUGAACUCCUGUCUAAACUGAAGGACAACCGCGAACUUCAGCACUUCCUGCAGGACGGACAGGAGCUGACUCUGUGGAUCAAUGAGAAGAUGCUGACAGCUCAGGACAUGUCGUACGACGAGGCCAGGAACCUCCACAGCAAGUGGCAGAAACACCAGGCCUUCAUGGCUGAGCUGGCCUCCAACAAAGACUGGCUGGAUAAGAUCGAUAAGGAGGGCCAGGCCCUGGUGACAGAGAAACCGGAGCUACAGCCUGUAGUCCAGCAAACUCUGGAGGGCCUGCAGAGCCAAUGGGAAGAGCUAGAGAACACUACACGCACCAAGGCUCAGUGCCUCUUCGAUGCCAACAGGGCAGAGCUCUUCACCCAGAGCUGCUCUGCUCUGGACGUGUGGCUGAAGAACCUGUCAGGGCAGCUUCAGAGCGACGACUUCGGCAAGGACCUGACCUCCGUCAACAUCCUGCUCAAGAAGCACCAGAUGCUGGAGCACCAGAUGGAGGUGCGUGAGAAGGAGGUGCAGUCACUGCAGUCCCAGGCGCUGGCGCUGUCCCAGGAAGAUGCUGGUGGGGCCGUGGUGGAGGUGGAUGGCCAGCAGAGACGUGUCACUGACAGCUUCUCCCAGCUCCAGGACCCCCUCAACCAGAGGCGGCAGCAACUGCUGGCCUCCAAGGAGGCCCACCAGUUCAACAGAGACCUGGAGGAUGAGAUUCUGUGGGUGAAGGAGAGGAUGCCCCUGGCCACAUCCACCGACCAUGGGAAGGACCUGUCCAGUGUGCAGCUGCUCAUCAAGAAGAACCAGACUUUGCAGAAGGAGAUCCAGGGCCACCAGCCCCGUAUUGAUGACAUCCAGACCCACCGCAGGGGGAUGUCCCCAGGGCAGGAGGAGAUGGACGGGGAGAGGCGGUCUGCUCUGGAGGGCCGUCUGGCGGAGCUCCGGGACUCCUGGGCCCAGCUCAUCGCUGAGACGGACGAGCGCCACGCCCGGCUGGUGGAGGCUAACCGCGCUCAGCAGUUCUACACCGACGCUGCAGAGGCCGAGGCCUGGAUGGGAGAGCAGGAGCUACACAUGAUGUCAGAGGAGAAGGCCAAGGAUGAGCAGAGCGCUCUGGUGAUGGUGAAGAAGCACCAGACGUUAGAACAGACCUUGGAGGAUUACGCCCAGCCCAUCCACCAGCUGGCCAACAGCAGCCGCACCAUGAUGACCAGCGAACACCCAGAGAGCGAGCGUAUCAACCUACGGCAAGCCCAGGUGGACAAGCUGUACGCAGGGCUGAAGGACCUGGCUGAGGAGCGUCGUGGGCGUCUCCAGGAGAGGCUGAGGCUGACCCAGCUGAAGAGAGAGGUGGACGACCUGGAGCAGUGGAUCGCUGAGAGGGAGGUGGUGGCCGGAUCCCACGAGCUGGGACAGGACUACGAACAUGUCACCAUGCUGCGGGACAAGUUCCGCGAGUUUGCUCGGGACACCAGCACCAUCGGCCAGGAGCGUGUGGACGGUGUUAACGGGCUGGCCGAUGACCUCAUCGAGUCGGGUCACCCUGAGAAUGCCAGCGUGGCAGAGUGGAAGGACGGGCUGAACGAGGCGUGGGCCGACCUGCUGGAGCUGAUCGACACGCGCACCCAGAUGCUGUCCGCCUCCUACGAGCUGCACCGCUUCCACCAGGACGCCCGCGAGGCGCUGGGGAGGGUCCGGGAGAAGAAGGAGGCGCUGCCCUCUGACCUGGGUCGUGACCUCAACACCGUCCAGCACCUCCACCGACAGCACACCGCCUACGAGCACGACAUCCAGGCCCUCAGCGGACAGGUGAACCAGGUGCAGGACGACGCGGCGCGGCUGCAGAAGGCCUACGCCGGGGAGAAGGCGGAGGAGAUCCACCGGAGCGAGCGCUCUGUCACUGAGGCCUGGGAGGGUCUGCUGGGGGCCGGCCAGGCUCGCCGUCACCUCCUGCUGGACACCGUGGAGAAGUUCCGCUUCGUCAACAUGGUGCGUGACCUCAUGUUGUGGAUGGACGGGGUCAACCUGCAGAUCGACGCCCACGACAGCCCCAGGGACGUGUCCUCUGCAGGGUUGGUCAUAGCCAACCAUCAGGACAUCAAGUCUGAGAUCGAGACCCGGGCAGACAGCUUCACCACCUGCAAUGAGAUGGGACACUCUCUCAUCAACAAUAACCACUAUGCAGCUGAUGAGAUCCUGGAGAAACUGGACCAGCUCCAGGGUAAGAGGGACGAGAUCAGCAACAAGUGGCAGGACAAGAUGGACCACCUCCUGAUAGUUCUGGAGGUGCUGCAGUUUGGCCGGGAUGCGUGCGUGGCAGAGACGUGGCUGGCAGGCCAGGAGCCCCUGGUGCGGGGGGCCGAGCUGGGCUCUAACGUGGACGAGGUGGAGAGCCUGAUCAAACGCCACGAGGCCUUCGAGAAGCUGGCCGCCGGCUGGGAGGAACGCUUCACCCUGCUGGAGAAACUCACCACGCUGGAGGAGCAGGAGAUCCAGAGGAGGAGGGAGGAGGAGGAGAGGGCGAGGCGAACCCCCACACCACCCCCGACAGAAGAGGUGGCCCCGUCUGAGGCCGAAACACAUGAUGCCAGGACCAGCCUGGACCAGACCACACUCAACCAGUCAGUAUCAGUCAAUGGAGUCCACAGCUACCAGGACACAUCCCAGUCGUUAUCAGUAUCAUCAGUGUCAGUGGAAAAGAAAGAGAAGUGUGAACCUGUCUCUAAACCUGUGUCUAAGCCAAAGCCUCCGCUGCGCGGUUCUGAGUCUGACUCUGUGAAUGGUCCGGGGAGGGACAGCGGGCUGGCGUCUUCACGCCUGGACCCGUCUGCCACGCUACCCAGCAAGGGAGAUAACGCUGGCCCAGACGCCAUGGAAGGCCUGCUCUACCGCAAGCAGGAGAUGGAGACCCACGCCAAGAGGGCAGCUAGCAGGUCCUGGCAGAAUGUCUACUGCGUUCUGCGUAAGGGCAGCCUUGGCUUCUACAAGGACCAGAAGAGCGCCUCCGGCGGGAUCCCCUACCACGGAGAAGUCCCCAUCAGCCUGGGAGAGGCUGUGUGUGAGGUGGCACACGACUACAAGAAGAGGAAACACGUCUUCAAGCUACGGCUAGGGGAUGGUAAGGAGUUCCUGUUCCAAGCUAAAGAUGAGCCGGAGAUGGCCUCGUGGAUCCACUCCAUUCAUAGCUGCAUCCCAGCAGGGGGGUCAGGAGACCGCUCCCCCGGAGGCCCCAGGGCCCUGAGCCGAGCCAUGACUAUGCCCCCCAUCUCCCCUAGCUCAGCAGAGGCUGCAGGGGUCACCAUGCGCAACAAGGAGGGCAAGGAGAAGGACCGCGAAAAGAGGUUCAGCUUCUUUGGCAAGAAGAAAUAAAAACGUCUGGAGAAGAACAACAUCAAGGGAAAUGAUAUUUGUCGAAAUUCCACCAAACUGAAACGGGCAGAAAGGAAAACAGUCUUGUGGCAUAAACGCAUCGCUCUCAGCCUUGGUCCUAAGGAGUUUGUCAACAACUAUGUGGCACACACAGAGCUUGCUCUUCCUCCCUCUCUUCCUCCCUCUCCAUUUGUCUUCUCUUUCCCUCUCAUAUCGCUCUUUUCCUUUCCAUUUCUCACAUUAGAUUCAUCCUACCAAUGUAAGCCCUUUUGCAUCAAUGGCAUUUUCAGACAAGAAGCUGUGUUUGUUGAUCAGUCACUAAUAAGAACUCUUUGACCUCAUCGCUGGGGGGAACCAAGGUGUUUGUGGGGAGAUGAGAGGCAGGGGUGGUUAGCAUUGGCAGAGCCAAGAGGCUAUGAGGCCUGUAAGAGUCCAUUCUCUUCCAUUCACCCACAUUGGAUUCUGUUUAAAAUGAGUUCUUCCUCGACCCGUUUUUUAGAUGGCUAAUCUGCUCUAAUGCUGUUUUACCACGAAAAGAGAACCCAUGGACCACAGUAGAGAGUGCUGUCCCCUCACGUCCCCUCUCCCAGUCUCUCUCUCCCCCUCCUUGGGAAGGACCACAUCAUUUUUGGGACGUUUGCGUAAUUAACGUUACCAAUAAUUAUUGCUGUUAUUAUAAUUCAUAUUUAUCUUUUUGCUGUUGCAAGCUUGAGGGGGGGGGGGGGUUAUUUAAAGAGUACGUCAGUGGAUGUAUUGAGUCAUGUUGUGAAACAACAAUUUGGUUUAAUUCACGGGACCACGUUGGUCUUGUUUCUGUUUGUAUCGUUGUCAGUUUGAGGUGGGGUUUUUUUUUUUUUUUUAAAGAAAGCUCAGUAAAUUUUAGCAGUGUGCAGUUAAGUGAUUUUCACCAGUGCAGAAUGAUAGAUAUAUUUAAAGUGGUUUUAUUUUAACUUGGAAAUUGUACCGGUUUGAUUUUGUUCUUCGACGGGAUUAUUUCUCCUUUGAUUGUGAGUUUCCUUGUUUCUUUUGGAAGCAGAGAGUUUUCUAGUGAGAGUGAGAGUUGUGGUGCUGUGGGUUUUGCACGUUUCUGUUCUAAAUCAGACGUGUCCAGUUGGAUGCUGCUUUUCUGACUUAACACACACACACACACACAGAUAAACACACACUUAAAGAAGUUGUUGGGAUGGCUUUCUAGAAGUAUUCUUAAAAUGUAGAUGACAAUGUGCUAAUGAAUGAAUUAAACGUUCCUCCUAGAUGGUUUUCAGACUUCCGUUUCACUCUUCCCUCACCACCACCUCCUCUGUCUGUUGUUUCGCUAUGUGAUGGCAGAGGGGUACGUUAACACUGUUUAACACUGCCAGUGCCCAACACUAGAGAUGAUUGUAAGCAAAAGCACAUCAAUGUGGCAUGGGGUGGUCUGGUAGGAGGGGGGGUCAUUACAGGUGGGUUAGGUUCGGGGCGCUGAGGGGGGAUGAUGAGAGUAGAGAAUCAGAAGGUAGUGUGCUGGGAGAGGAGGAGUACUGAGCCUUACUGCAGCCCACAGACUUAAGAACCCUUUAUUAGCUCAGUCGUUCCUUGAAUAGCGCUUAAUCACAAAGGGAGCUUUUUCACUCGCGUAACAAAUCUCUGAAUGUGCCCUUUGGCGUUGACGCUGCAUAUGUCUAUGGAUUCUGUACCCAGGUACCAUAGGGUGCAUGGAGACGGGCCCAGCCGCAACAGCGAUUUGAAGGAAGUGAAAUGCAGGCAAAGCUCUGUUGGAUUGGAAGAGGCGUAACCAUGGAUCACUUUCCUCACUUGAUUGGUAAAUGAUAGAGAGAAUAGUCUUCCGGUGUUUUGCCGGAGAGCUUGGAGCUCCUCCGCGUGUGGCAUGACCUCAUGUAGGAUUGUAUGCGUCUCGUUUUUCUCUCCAAUUCUCACCUAGUCAGAUGUUCUAGGUACAUGAGAUUUCCUCCGUAAGCCAUGUAUGGCAUGAUACCAUGAAGCCCAUGCUGUGGAGGGUGGAGUAUUACACAGGUGUAUCAUUAGCAGUUUGGAAAGAAUUCACAAAUGGGCAAAAAGAAAAUGGUUAAAUGAUAUUAAAUGACAGUAAAGGUGACAUUGAUACGUAGAUGGCGAGUCCUGGCACAGUGAGUGAUUUUUAUUUCCUUGUCUGAGACGAGUGGAAGUUUUUCCUGUAUAAGACAGCUCUAAACAUGGCAGAAUCCUUGAGCCUCAAUUAUUGCGGGCAAAAUGAUAUCUGUUACUCGACGAUAGGCUUAUCUGGGGUGAGGGUGUGGGCGUAUCAAAGCCCUGUUAGGUUAUUGUAUGACCGAUGGCUCACCCUCAACCAGAGAAGGAAAGAACAAGUGGCUGGCUAAGUGUCCGAAAUGUGCAGCUUUCCAACAGGCAAGACUAUUGAACUAUUGGCCUUUCAUUCCAAUACAGUUGGUGUGAUUUGGGGUAAAUAAGCAAGAGUUGACCCAUAAUACCUGAGGCUGUAGAAUAUGCAGUUGACUCCUUUGUCUGCCUUGAUUUGUAUCCCAACUGUGAGCCUGAGCGAUUGGUCCCAGCCGAAUGUACUGAGCUGAGCCUCUGGCUCCUUAGUCACAGGUCAAAGGCCGCUGACCUGUUCAAUGAGGCAACAACAACAAAGAAGUCAACGACGCUCAGAGUAGAACAGAGUGAGCCUUGCUGGGUCAAUAUUCACUGUGACAAACUACUACCAGGGCAGCCAGUGCUGGAUCGGCCACAGCACUUCAACAAGUAGCUUGUGUAGCCCUCUACUGUGCGUACUGCUCCAACAGUGACCCAGUUGUAGACACGAGCAGGUUCCCCAGGCCCAUUUGAAGUCUCUGAAGAUGAGUGUAGCGCUGUAUGUUCUAGUAUAACUUCUUAUGAAUGUUUAUGGCUCAGAAGGUGAGUUGGGCCAAAUUGGUCAUGUGACGCAAAAGGACAUGUUACUUGGAGCCACUAUUUCACAUACUUUACAUGCAUACACACUACCUUUCUCUCCUCUCUCGGUCUCACUCUCACACACACACACACAAACACUCUGAUAUACUAAGGUAGAAUGACUCUGGCCUUCCAGCCAAGCAGAAAUAUGUGGAGCUGGUUGUGAUUUGGUUCCAGACUUGGGUUGUUGUUCAGUCUCUGUGUGUUACUGGUGAGCUUUGACCAGAAAAGGAUUGUAUUAUUGAGGGUGUUGAGAUAGGGUUUUUAUGGGGUUUUAAAAGUUAAAGUGGAACACCUGAAAAGGUAUCUUGGUCUCUUAUUUGAAGAGGAAAAUAAAUACAGUAUACAUUAACCAGAGGGCUGAUGGCAAAUUUGAGCUUCCUUUUUCUAGAGUUAGACAGCAGAUGUGCUGUCUCACGGGGUUCUUGUAUUUUCUCAUCCAGUGGUCUGAUCUGUUCUGCAGUGUUCGAUAAGCCGGUUCACCCACUCUCAUUUCAAAUUUCUUUGAAUCUAAGUUCCUUCUUCUGUGACUUAACUAAUUCCAAGCUAAUACCACUGCUAUGAUGUAUUAUUAUUGCUACUGUUAUUACUACUACUGUUACUCCUGUUACUUAUUACUUUAACUAGAACUGCUGUCCAUUUUUCAGGUAUGCGUCUGUAAUACCAGACCCUUCCACAAGAUGUCAGUGUGCUGUGGAGCAUUUUCAUUACAGAUUGAAAAUAAUGUUUGUUGACUUGUAUCUUCAUAUUAGGAAUAAUAAAACCUGGUUUAAAAGAAAACAACGAA